AAGAGCUUGCUUUUCAAAGUUAGUGGCGGACGGGUGAGUAACGCGUGGGUAACCUGCCUCAUACAGGGGAAUAGCAGCUGGAAACGGCUGAUAAAACCGCAUAAGCGCACAGUGCCGCAUGGCACAGUGUGAAAAACUCCGGUGGUAUGAGAUGGACCCGCGUCUGAUUAGCUUGUUGGCGGGGUAACGGCCCACCAAGGCGACGAUCAGUAGCCGGCCUGAGAGGGUGAUCGGCCACAUUGGGACUGAGACACGGCCCAAACUCCUACGGGAGGCAGCAGUGGGGAAUAUUGCACAAUGGGGGAAACCCUGAUGCAGCGACGCCGCGUGAAGGAAGAAGUAUCUCGGUAUGUAAACUUCUAUCAGCAGGGAAGAUAAUGACGGUACCUGAUUAAGAAGCCCCGGCUAACUACGUGCCAGCAGCCGCGGUAAUACGUAGGGGGCAAGCGUUAUCCGGAUUUACUGGGUGUAAAGGGAGCGUAGGCGGCGGAGCAAGUCAGAAGUGAAAGCCCGGGGCUCAACCCCGGGACGGCUUUUGAAACUGCCCUGCUUGAUUUCAGGAGAGGUAAGCGGAAUUCCUAGUGUAGCGGUGAAAUGCGUAGAUAUUAGGAGGAACACCAGUGGCGAAGGCGGCUUACUGGACUGACAAUGA
Molecule: ribosomal RNA, 652 nt
Filed under: uncultured Lachnospiraceae bacterium
Lineage: Bacteria; Bacillati; Bacillota; Clostridia; Lachnospirales; Lachnospiraceae
Description: bacterial SSU rRNA
Rfam family: Bacterial small subunit ribosomal RNA
Source: RNAcentral